Molecule: long non-coding RNA, 753 nt
Organism: Myotis brandtii (Brandt's bat)
Lineage: Eukaryota; Metazoa; Chordata; Mammalia; Chiroptera; Vespertilionidae
Exons: 2
Source: RefSeq, a predicted model, not a curated record
CUGUCAGCACUUGUUAACUGUGUGAAAUAGAAGGGAGGCAGGGCCGUACCUGCGGGCACACAGCAACUUCGGGCAGAGCUGGAGUCGCAGCCCACGCCUCGGCCGUGGCAGGCAGUCCUGCGAGUCUGGUCUGGGUCUCUGUGACCCUGACAAGGGCUGGGGCUCCACAGGAUGAUCCCUGAGUCCUGGUGCUGACUGUUUACAUAGAAGGGGAGGAGCAGGCCGACCCAGCGACCCGUUCCUGCUGUUCGGCAGGCACGAGCUGGGACUGCUCCAGGCAUGAAGGCCUGGCUUCGUGCCAGGAUGUGGAAGCCACACAGGCAGACGGCUCCCAGGCCGGGCCUCCAGGAGCCAGGGCAGAGCAGAGAAGAACCGAAACCCUUCAGUCCAGCCAAAUAGAGACCACACAGCCCAGACAGUCCCUGGGACCUGAUUCUAAGCUUCGUCCCUACUGCUCCUCAGCCCCACCAUCUAGGACUAGGUCUUCAAACCACACCCCUCCCACCCCCCACCUUAUACCCACAAGAGACAGCAAAAUCUUUGAUUCGUUUUUCCUUCUGCCCCUGGCGCCUGGGUUCCUGGCCCCGGUGGCUAAUGGCCAUGUGGGACCCCACACAUGGACGGAUGGGCUGGAAUGAGCUCGGGGGCUGAACUGCACCGGCUGCAACUCUGGACACUGGCCUGCUUUGGGCUCUCCCGGAACCCCAGCUGCGCCCUUCCCAGGACUGGCUUCUCUCAGUAAACUUUGCUUCC